Molecule: ribosomal RNA, 1029 nt
Filed under: Triticum aestivum (bread wheat)
Lineage: Eukaryota; Viridiplantae; Streptophyta; Magnoliopsida; Poales; Poaceae
Description: partial small subunit ribosomal RNA
Source: RNAcentral
AUGGAGGAUUUUGUUUCAUGGCACUACAACAAAACGGGGUUUUUCUCGGUUAAGACGGCAUACCACAUGGAGUGGGAUUACCAACAUGGACGAAAGUUGAGACAAACAAAUACCAUAUUGUCUUCAAGUACUAGUCCAGUUUGGCGCACUCUUUGGAAACUUCAAAUACCGGCAAAGAUCAAGGUGCAUGUUUGGAGAGCUUUGUAUGGUGCAAUCCCUUGUCGGGGAGUCCUGGCCAAUCGACAUAUGAUAACAAUCUCCGACUGCCCGAUAUGUGCCACGGAUUGUGAGAGUAUUCGUCAUUCUUUCUUUAGAUGCAACAGAGUGCAAGAGAUUUGGGCAAAAUUGGGCUUUCUUCCCACCGUAAGUGAGCUGUGCGAAACUGAGAUGGAGGGAUCUUCGCUCCUUGGUGACCUGUUGUUAAUGCCAAGCGUUGAUGUUCCGUCGCUCCCGGGUGUGCCCAUGAAGGAGCUGGUGGCUGUGGCGGUUUGGGCAAGGAAGCAUGGUGCGGGCAGGAUAGGAAGACAUGGAUGGACGAGACAAAUAAAGGGAUUUGUUAGCCUCAAUAUCGACGCCUUUUUUGAUGCUGACAGUGGCACCAACGGGACUGGGGCCAUCAUAUGGGACUCUACAGGUUCUUUCGUUGCGGCAUCCACGAGCAACAUCCCGUUUGUCCAAGAUGCGGCGACAGCCGAGGCACGGGGCCUCAAGGAUGGGCUGGUUCUGGCAAACACCAUCGGCUGCAACAAGGUGGAGAUCAGGGCGGAUUGUAUGGAGGUCAUCCAGAUAAUGCAAGACGGAGGCAAUUCCUUAGGACCAGCUGCAGCCAUCUAUGAGGAGUGUACUUUCUUGUGUCGUAAUUUUAUCUCUGUUAGUUUCUGUCAUUGUCCUAGGGAAGCUAAUAUGGCGGCUGAUCUUUUGGCUACUAAGUCGGAGCCCUCACGAACUAUUGUGUGGCAGAACGAGGCUCCAGACUUUCUGCUCGAUAUAAUCACAAAUGAUGUAGCCCUAUUUUCACAUGAAAUAUAA